UGCUGCUUCGGGACAGUGAGGUGUCAGCAUC
Molecule: non-coding RNA, 31 nt
Filed under: Mus musculus (house mouse)
Lineage: Eukaryota; Metazoa; Chordata; Mammalia; Rodentia; Muridae
Source: RNAcentral